CAAUAACUCAGUAAGGCAGUAAAAAUUCACAAGCAACAAAAAUGAAAUGUUUUCACAGAAGAAGUACAAGGUACAUGUUACCUUUUUUCAGAAUAAGCACCAAAACAGGGUAGACAAACUGACGGCACCAAAAGCACUUCCAAGUCCGACAUCCUUUUGAUCUCAGCUGCCAAUUCAAAACCCUAGCGGUGGGACUAUAAGAGGAUCCGUUACUGUUCACUAAAGAAGAGGUGAGAUAACGGCGAAAAACCCUAGAAACGAGAGAAAGGAAACCAGAGAGCUUCAAUUGCAAUUGCAAUUACCUGAAGCCACCAUUCCGGAACACGAAGGGAAGUGGAAGCAGUUCGAAGAACGACCAAACCGUUGUCGCAUUCGCGGUUUCACAGGUUAUUACCUUCCCCUUAUGCUUGUUGUGUUGUUUAUCAUAGUUGGAUGUCGCUAGAUGAAACUCCAUUGUCGGGGUAUUACCUUCGUCACCAUUUGUGAUUUUCAAAAUGAAAGAAGUUUUUGAGGGAAGGUUGAUUUUUUUAGAAAGAGAUGAACACCACUGUUUCCAUUCGCUUUUGUUUUUCUCCAGAGUUUUUAUUAUGAUUGACCGUCAGUAUUAGUAAUGGUUCUAUGGCUUGGAAACAAUAAUAGUGGCCUUUACUUUACUCGCUGCACCUUCGUUUUUCCCACCUUGCUGUUUCAAAGAUUUGGCUGACACCUAGCCAUUAAUGGAGAUUUAUUCUCCUAUGUUCGUCACCCCCCUAAACAGCCACAUGGCUAAAGUGGUGUCCCUGCUCCAGUACCACCUCACUUCG
RNAcentral lists this long non-coding RNA (803 nucleotides) under Lathyrus oleraceus (garden pea). RNAcentral's name for it is "Pisum sativum (pea) long non-coding RNA (PSAT_LNC011025)". Lineage: Eukaryota; Viridiplantae; Streptophyta; Magnoliopsida; Fabales; Fabaceae. The record is from RNAcentral.